AAUAAACCCGAAAAACUGGGAAAAUACCCGAUAGAUCUCGGCUGCUGGAAUGCACCGAGUUCUAAAGCUCCGGCGCUCAAGGAUGGAUCUGCGGCCUAUCAGGUAGUAGUGGGUGUAGCGUACCUACUAGCCUACGACGGGUACGGGUUGUGAGAGCAAGAGCCCGGAGAUGGAUUCUGAGACACGAAUCCAGGCCCUACGGGGUGCAGCAGGCGCGAAAACUUUACAAUGCUGGAAACAGCGAUAAGGGGACCUCGAGUGCCAGGUUACAAAUCUGGCUGUCGUGAUGCCUAAAAAGCAUUGCAUAACAAGGGCCGGGCAAGACCGGUGCCAGCCGCCGCGGUAACACCGGCGGCUCGAGUGGUAACCGUUAUUAUUGGGUCUAAAGGGUCUGUAGCCGGCCGGAUAAGUCUCUUGGGAAAUCUGGCAGCUUAACUGUCAGGCUUUCAGGAGAUACUGUCUGGCUCGAGGCCGGGAGAGGUGAGAGGUACUUCAGGGGUAGGGGUGAAAUCUUGUAAUCCUUGAAGGACCACCAGUGGCGAAGGCGUCUCACCAGAACGGACCUGACGGCAAGGGACGAAAGCUAGGGGCACGAACCGGAUUAGAUACCCGGGUAGUCCUAGCCGUAAACGAUACUCGCUAGGUGUCGGCCACGGUGCGACCGUUGUCGGUGCCGUAGGGAAGCCGUGAAGCGAGCCACCUGGGAAGUACGGCCGCAAGGCUGAAACUUAAAGGAAUUGGCGGGGGAGCACCACAACGGGUGGAGCUUGCGGUUUAAUUGGAUUCAACGCCGGAAAUCUUACCGGGACCGACAGCAAUAUGAAGGCCAGGCUGAAGACUUUGCCGGAUUAGCU
This 854-nucleotide ribosomal RNA is filed under the name uncultured Methanosaeta sp. RNAcentral's name for it is "bacterial SSU rRNA". It matches the Rfam family "Archaeal small subunit ribosomal RNA", at positions 125 to 981 of the family's 1478-position model. The record is from RNAcentral. Lineage: Archaea; Methanobacteriati; Methanobacteriota; Methanomicrobia; Methanotrichales; Methanotrichaceae.